CUUGGCACUGGUAGAAUUCACUGAUAUGAAUGAAAGCUCAGUGGUUCUCUAGGGCCAAAUA
RNAcentral lists this microRNA precursor (61 nucleotides) under Lingula anatina. RNAcentral describes it as "Lan-Mir-96-P2_pre stem-loop". Lineage: Eukaryota; Metazoa; Brachiopoda; Lingulata; Lingulida; Lingulidae. The record is from RNAcentral.